CCGCAGGGGUGCUGAAUGUAUGUUGGCUGAGAUGACGUGUGAAACUCGUCAAACCCUUUCACCUGAUACGGAUAAUGCCGUCGUAGGAAGUUGGAUGA
RNAcentral lists this non-coding RNA (98 nucleotides) under bovine gut metagenome. RNAcentral describes it as "TPP riboswitch (THI element)". The stretch from base 4 to 90 matches the Rfam family "TPP riboswitch aptamer (THI element)", at positions 10 to 89 of the family's 105-position model. From Rfam's summary of the family: Vitamin B(1) in its active form thiamin pyrophosphate (TPP) is an essential coenzyme that is synthesised by coupling of pyrimidine and thiazole moieties in bacteria. The previously detected thiamin-regulatory element, thi box was extended, resulting in a new, highly conserved RNA secondary structure, the THI element, which is widely distributed in eubacteria and also occurs in some archaea. The record is from RNAcentral.